Esox lucius (northern pike) is the source of this 390-nucleotide non-coding RNA. NCBI's taxonomy places the organism in Eukaryota, Metazoa, Chordata, Actinopteri, Esociformes, Esocidae. The record is from the annotation of a RefSeq genome assembly.
AUGGUAUGGUAUGUCUGUUCAUUCAGUCGUCUUUCUCUAACUUCCUGUCUUCUAGGUGAUGUCCGUCCCACCCUGACAGUCCUUCCCCCCUCCAGUGUGGAGCUGCAGCAGGGAAAGGCCACUCUCAUGUGUCUGGCUAACAAGGGCUUCCCCUCAGGCUGGAGUCUGAACUGGAAGGUAGAUGGAGUCAGCACCACCCGGGAGGUGACGGGGAGCCCCGGGGUCCUGGACAAGAAUGGCCUCUACAGCUGGAGCAGCACGCUGACCCUCCCUGUGGACCAGUGGAGGAAGGUGGGCUCUGUGACCUGUGAGGCCAACCAGGGCUCCCAGGCUCCUCUCUCUGAGUCACUGAGGAGAGAACAGUGUUCUGAAUGAGCUCCUCCUCUGAAU